CAGUAGCCGCGGUAAUACGUAGGGCGCAAGCGUUAUCCGGAAUUAUUGGGCGUAAAGAGCUCGUAGGCGGCUUGUCGCGUCUGCUGUGAAAUCCCGAGGCUCAACCUCGGGCCUGCAGUGGGUACGGGCAGACUAGAGUGCGGUAGGGGAGAUUGGAAUUCCUGGUGUAGCGGUGGAAUGCGCAGAUAUCAGGAGGAACACCGAUGGCGAAGGCAGAUCUCUGGGCCGUAACUGACGCUGAGGAGCGAAAGGGUGGGGAGCAAACAGGCUUAGAUACCCCGGUAGUCCCUGUCUCUUAUAC
This 301-nucleotide ribosomal RNA is filed under the name uncultured bacterium. RNAcentral describes it as "partial 16S ribosomal RNA". It matches the Rfam family "Bacterial small subunit ribosomal RNA", at positions 509 to 807 of the family's 1533-position model. The record is from RNAcentral.